Molecule: long non-coding RNA, 1693 nt
Organism: Vidua macroura (Pin-tailed whydah)
Lineage: Eukaryota; Metazoa; Chordata; Aves; Passeriformes; Viduidae
Exons: 3
Source: RefSeq, a predicted model, not a curated record
GCCCGCACAGCCCUCACACCCCUCGCAGCCCUCACAGCCCUCACACCCCUCACACCCCUCACAGCCCUCACAGCCCUCACACCCCUCACAGCCCUCACAGCCCUUACAGCCCUCACAGCCCUCACACCCCUCACAGCCCUCACACCCCUCACAGCCCUCACAGCCCUCACACCCCUCACAGCCCUCACACCCCUCACAGCCCUCACAGCCCUCACACCCCUCACAGCCCUCACAGCCCUCACAGCCCUCACACCCCUCACAGCCCUCACAGCCCUCACAGCCCUCACACCCCUCACAGCCCUCACAGCCCUCAUCCUGGCUCCCUCCUCCACCGUCCUGGGCAAAGAGGCAUUGGGAUGACCAUGGGUGUGUCGUAAGAUGUGAUGAGUGGCAACUACAAGCAGGAGUGCUGCAACCAGCUGGAAGGGAUCCCACACCUGGCCAAGGGUACAUGCUGCAUCCCCUGGCCUUGCUACAAAGCCAGACCAUAAUGUAGCUGAAGGCAAGGCCCUUUCGUCUCUCUCCGAGCUUGCAAGCAGCUCACGUUAGCCGGGCCUUUUGCUAAGUAAACUUUAAAAAUGUGAAGCAAUAACAAUUUGAGUUAGAAUCUUGCAGAGUACUAAAAUGGAAAUAUUACCUCGGGAGCUUCCACAGGAAGGAUCUGGGAGGAAACAAGAAGCUUAAAUGUAUAGAAGCACGCAGCAGAUACAGGCUGUAUAUUCUCAGCAUUAAACCCAGGGCUGUUAUUUUCUUAAAUAUAUUUGGAAAUAAACAAAAGGAUUUCGUACGUGCCUGGGUGGCUGUGUGUUCCUGAAGCCAAACUGCACCGAGGAGAGGAGAGAGAGAGGGAGGAAAAGAGAGAGAAAACGAAGAGUUACAGAAAGUUUGCAAGAUGCAGUUGCAGGGAACAGUUGUUCAUUUUUUCUUUCCUUCUCUGCAUUUUGGGUCUGUUUGAAAGGCGCGGAAUCAGCAGAGUGCUUUGCUGCGCAGCCCCUCAAAUACAACGGGAGGGGAGAUUCGUAGCAUCCUUUGAACCUUACUUUGCAUUUAAAAUAUUUAAAGCGUCCCAGAAGGCUCUGUGAGGCUUUUUCAAGGUGUGGAAAGUAUCGGCUCUUAUGCUUUUAAAAAGCAUACACUGCUGGUUUAUUAUUAACACACUGGGAAGUACAUAAGGCCCACAACUUUAUUCUCUUUAAUGAGCCUGGAAAAGCACGUUGGCCCUGAAGGGUUUUGUUCAUUAAAGAUGUAGGCUGUAGGAAUAUUGUCUCAUUAAUUAUCUGGUUUUAAUUACACUGUUACCCUUUGAAUCCAUAUAUUUGGGGGGGGGGGGGGGGGGGAGUGGAAAAGUUGCUAUAACCAGACCCUCACAAUCCGCAGCGAGGGCGUGUCGAGGUUUAAGGCUGAAGAAGCAGCAGAGACUCGGACAGGAAGUGCGGGAAUUGCGGGGAUGCUCCUGCUGGAAGGAUGGACGGAUGGACGCAGGGGUGGGGAGGAAGUGGAGGUGGGAGGAAGAGGGGUCUCCGCGCGUGUCGAGCUGCGCGCACACCAGGAAAUAUCUAUUUCCCCGUGUCUGUCUGCAGCCGCCUCUCGGCUACCGGCCGUCUUCCGAGCUGGGCUGGUACCGGAUAGGAUGCGCCGUGGGGAAACGGGAGAGCUGGGUCGCCAGGCUCAGGGCGCGUCCCCCUCCGUGAGA